This 245-nucleotide ribosomal RNA is filed under the name uncultured bacterium. RNAcentral's name for it is "partial 16S ribosomal RNA". It matches the Rfam family "Bacterial small subunit ribosomal RNA", at positions 524 to 768 of the family's 1533-position model. The record is from RNAcentral.
UACGUAGGUGGCGAGCGUUAUCCGGAUUUAUUGGGCGUAAAGAGCGCGUAGGUGGUCUCAUAAGUUGGGCGUGAAAGCCCCCGGCUUAACUGGGGAGGGUCGUUCAAUACUGUGGGACUUGAGGGUGGAUGAGGAGAUCGGAAUUCCCGGUGUAGUGGUGAAAUGCGUAGAUAUCGGGAGGAACACCUGUGGCGAAGGCGGAUCUCUAGGCCACUCCUGACACUGAGGCGCGAAAGCGUGGGGAG